RNAcentral lists this ribosomal RNA (254 nucleotides) under uncultured bacterium. RNAcentral describes it as "partial 16S ribosomal RNA". It matches the Rfam family "Bacterial small subunit ribosomal RNA", at positions 524 to 776 of the family's 1533-position model. The record is from RNAcentral.
UACGAAGGGGGCUAGCGUUGCUCGGAAUCACUGGGCGUAAAGCGCACGUAGGCGGAUUGCUAAGUCAGGGGUGAAAUCCUGGAGCUCAACUCCAGAACUGCCUUUGAUACUGGCGAUCUUAGAGUCCGGGAGAGGUGAGUGGAACUCCGAGUGUAGAGGUGAAAUUCGUAGAUAUUCGGAAGAACACCAGUGGCGAAGGCGGCUCACUGGCCCGGUACUGACGCUCAGGUGCGAAAGCGUGGGGAGCAAACAGG